AAUAACUCCUGUCAGCAGCAAGGUCCUGACUGAAGUGGCAGCUGCAGUUGUUCCUGUGGUGUGGGCCAGUGGAAUUCCAAGAAAAUGGACAAGGACAGAAGCUGUAAGAAUUACCCCUAAGCCAGAGUCUCUCCUGGCAGAAGAGCCCAGGCCUGAGCUGGCUGAGUGUUGGUGUGAGCCAGAGUGGGUGUCCCUGCCCUGGGGCCAGUCCCCAGAGCUGCCUUUGGCAUCCCCUGCUGAAGGGUGGGAGCUGCCCAGAGCCAGCAGCAUCCAGCUGGAGGAUCCAGGAGGAUGCAGCUCUGCUUUGCUGGGAGCUUGUCCAGGAGAUGGAAUUCCAGUGCUACAGUCUGGGUGGGUCAUGGUGCUCCCAAAAGGAGCCUUUGUGCCUUCAGGACAAGUUUUGGUGCCACUGGAGCUGCUGGGAGAAGCAUAGGGUUGGCAGUGAGAGGCCUGGAAUGAUGUUGGUGUGGUACAGAAGAAAUGAGCAGUGA
This is a long non-coding RNA of Pseudopipra pipra, 491 nucleotides long. RefSeq lists it as uncharacterized. The record is from RefSeq and is a predicted model, not a curated record. The transcript has 3 exons. NCBI's taxonomy places the organism in Eukaryota, Metazoa, Chordata, Aves, Passeriformes, Pipridae.